ACCGCGAGAACCAGUGUGAACACAUGGCAAAAUUGUAAUUAUGUGGUAUUUAUUAAAAAACACGCGCCCCCCUUCUCACCACUAUGUUCAGGAUCUACAGCCUUUAAUAUUAGGGUUUUAUUCUUCAGCUUCAGCUUUUAAUAUUGGGGUUUCAUUCAUCAGAUCAGAUUGUUGUAUACAUUGACGACGACGGCCGACGGCCGACAGCAUUCACGUAACUCACCGGAGUUCACGACGGCGACAUCUGGGCACGAUGUUCCGGCGGCAUUCACAACGAACAACCCACCAUUUACACCCUCUACAUGGCAUCAUCUGAUUCAUCACGUGUCGAUCCUCACACAUCUGAUGUUCCUCCUCAUACAUUCUCUGAUAAUCCACCUCAUACAUCUGAUGCUGACAUUGUUGGUCCAUCUGCUGAUAAUAGAGUUGAUAGUCACAAGAUACCUACAAAUACAGAACAUCAAGAGUUGAAAAUCAUUUUAUUUGUGACUAAAGGGAUUAUGUUGACUGUAAAUGAGCAAACAAAGAGUCUUGGGUGGCGGACAACUACAAAAAAAAUAGGGGAGGUCAUUGUGUGAGAUUGGCAAUGGAAGAACAAGCCGACAACCAGGGAGGCAUCGCUGGAGUAUAUGCAGCUUUUGGCGCUGUUGAAAGACACCCGAAUGAAGACGGGUCAAUAUGGGUUGGGUCGGCACUCGGAAAAAUAAGUCGACUUUCAAUGUUAAACCCGUUAGAUAGGAUUUGUGUGUCACAAGCGGGGACCCGUCGAGUGGCUUUGUAAUGACCUGGAACGGUUGGGCUACACCUAAAGCCAAUAUGUUAGCAUGGAAAGGCGUCGAAGGCAGGUUACUGAUAUAGACAGAGCUAUAAAAAAGGGGAAUUCAUAUCAGCGACUCAUUGUGCCCAGGUUGCGGAUACGAGCAAGAAACUGUUGAACACAUCCUCAUUCCGUGUUUGAUGUCGAAAACGCUAUGGUGGAUGGUCAGAGCAUGGCUGGGAGUAAAAGAUUUACAUUCUUACUCAACAGUGGCGAAUAUUCUCUCUUUUUUCGUGGAAGCGGGAUAUUUCUAAGAAGAAGAAAAAGGCAGUCAACUGUAUAUUGAUGGUUACAUUAUGGAUCAUAUGGUCGAGCAGAAAUGAGAAGGUUUUCAAAGUCGUGCAGUGUUCAAAUACUAGAAGACUGGAAUAAGUCAAUGAGUGUACUCUGUUGUGGAUGAAAGUCAUAGCCAAAAUAGAGAAUUUAGUGAUUGAAGAGUGGUACACCAGUGGUGUGAAUGUAAUAGAAAAAAUAGGAGUUUAUAUGUUUACUGUAUGUGUACUUCUCUACUUCAUGUCUAAAGUUAUGGUUUGAAUAUGUGGCAUCUUGUUAUGUUAAAAAAAAUGUCGUUAUAUAUAAAUUGAUAAUGCUCGUGUGCAUUAUGUUGACAA
Long non-coding RNA from Helianthus annuus (common sunflower), 1428 nucleotides. RefSeq lists it as uncharacterized. The record is from RefSeq and is a predicted model, not a curated record. The transcript has 2 exons. Lineage: Eukaryota; Viridiplantae; Streptophyta; Magnoliopsida; Asterales; Asteraceae.